RNAcentral lists this ribosomal RNA (2627 nucleotides) under human gut metagenome. RNAcentral describes it as "bacterial LSU rRNA". It matches the Rfam family "Bacterial large subunit ribosomal RNA". The record is from RNAcentral.
UGAGGCGAACCGGGGGAACUGAAACAUCUAAGUACCCCGAGGAAAAGAAAUCAACCGAGAUUCCCCCAGUAGCGGCGAGCGAACGGGGAGGAGCCCAGAGCCUGAAUCAGUGUGUGUGUUAGUGGAAGCGUCUGGAAAGGCGUGCGAUACAGGGUGACAGCCCCGUACACAAAAAUGCACAUAUUGUGAGCUCGAUGAGUAGGGCGGGACACGUGGUAUCCUGUCUGAAUAUGGGGGGACCAUCCUCCAAGGCUAAAUACUCCUGACUGACCGAUAGUGAACCAGUACCGUGAGGGAAAGGCGAAAAGAACCCCGGCGAGGGGAGUGAAAAAGAACCUGAAACCGUGUACGUACAAGCAGUGGGAGCCUCUUAAUGGGGUGACUGCGUACCUUUUGUAUAAUGGGUCAGCGACUUAUAUUCUGUAGCAAGGUUAACCGAAUAGGGGAGCCGAAGGGAAACCGAGUCUUAACUGGGCGUUAAGUUGCAGGGUAUAGACCCGAAACCCGGUGAUCUAGCCAUGGGCAGGUUGAAGGUUGGGUAACACUAACUGGAGGACCGAACCGACUAAUGUUGAAAAAUUAGCGGAUGACUUGUGGCUGGGGGUGAAAGGCCAAUCAAACCGGGAGAUAGCUGGUUCUCCCCGAAAGCUAUUUAGGUAGCGCCUCGUGAAUUCAUCUCCGGGGGUAGAGCACUGUUUCGGCAAGGGGGUCAUCCCGACUUACCAACCCGAUGCAAACUGCGAAUACCGGAGAAUGUUAUCACGGGAGACACACGGCGGGUGCUAACGUCCGUCGUGAAGAGGGAAACAACCCAGACCGCCAGCUAAGGUCCCAAAGUCAUGGUUAAGUGGGAAACGAUGUGGGAAGGCCCAGACAGCCAGGAUGUUGGCUUAGAAGCAGCCAUCAUUUAAAGAAAGCGUAAUAGCUCACUGGUCGAGUCGGCCUGCGCGGAAGAUGUAACGGGGCUAAACCAUGCACCGAAGCUGCGGCAGCGACACUAUGUGUUGUUGGGUAGGGGAGCGUUCUGUAAGCCUGUGAAGGUGGCCUGUGAGGGUUGCUGGAGGUAUCAGAAGUGCGAAUGCUGACAUAAGUAACGAUAAAGCGGGUGAAAAGCCCGCUCGCCGGAAGACCAAGGGUUCCUGUCCAACGUUAAUCGGGGCAGGGUGAGUCGACCCCUAAGGCGAGGCCGAAAGGCGUAGUCGAUGGGAAACAGGUUAAUAUUCCUGUACUUGGUGUUACUGCGAAGGGGGGACGGAGAAGGCUAUGUUGGCCGGGCGACGGUUGUCCCGGUUUAAGCGUGUAGGCUGGUUUUCCAGGCAAAUCCGGAAAACCAAGGCUGAGGCGUGAUGACGAGGCACUACGGUGCUGAAGCGACAAAUGCCCUGCUUCCAGGAAAAGCCUCUAAGCAUCAGGUAACAUCAAAUCGUACCCCAAACCGACACAGGUGGUCAGGUAGAGAAUACCAAGGCGCUUGAGAGAACUCGGGUGAAGGAACUAGGCAAAAUGGUGCCGUAACUUCGGGAGAAGGCACGCUGAUAUGUAGGUGAAGCGACUUGCUCGUGGAGCUGAAAUCAGUCGAAGAUACCAGCUGGCUGCAACUGUUUAUUAAAAACACAGCACUGUGCAAACACGAAAGUGGACGUAUACGGUGUGACGCCUGCCCGGUGCUGGAAGGUUAAUUGAUGGGGUCAGCCGCAAGGCGAAGCUCUUGAUCGAAGCCCCAGUAAACGGCGGCCGUAACUAUAACGGUCCUAAGGUAGCGAAAUUCCUUGUCGGGUAAGUUCCGACCUGCACGAAUGGCGUAAUGAUGGCCAGGCUGUCUCCACCCGAGACUCAGUGAAAUUGAACUCGCUGUGAAGAUGCAGUGUACCCGCGGCAAGACGGAAAGACCCCGUGAACCUUUACUAUAGCUUGACACUGAACAUUGAGCCUUGAUGUGUAGGAUAGGUGGGAGGCUUUGAAGUGUGGACGCCAGUCUGCAUGGAGCCGACCUUGAAAUACCACCCUUUAAUGUUUGAUGUUCUAACGUUGGCCCGUAAUCCGGGUUGCGGACAGUGUCUGGUGGGUAGUUUGACUGGGGCGGUCUCCUCCUAAAGAGUAACGGAGGAGCACGAAGGUUGGCUAAUCCUGGUCGGACAUCAGGAGGUUAGUGCAAUGGCAUAAGCCAGCUUGACUGCGAGCGUGACGGCGCGAGCAGGUGCGAAAGCAGGUCAUAGUGAUCCGGUGGUUCUGAAUGGAAGGGCCAUCGCUCAACGGAUAAAAGGUACUCCGGGGAUAACAGGCUGAUACCGCCCAAGAGUUCAUAUCGACGGCGGUGUUUGGCACCUCGAUGUCGGCUCAUCACAUCCUGGGGCUGAAGUAGGUCCCAAGGGUAUGGCUGUUCGCCAUUUAAAGUGGUACGCGAGCUGGGUUUAGAACGUCGUGAGACAGUUCGGUCCCUAUCUGCCGUGGGCGCUGGAGAACUGAGGGGGGCUGCUCCUAGUACGAGAGGACCGGAGUGGACGCAUCACUGGUGUUCGGGUUGUCAUGCCAAUGGCACUGCCCGGUAGCUAAAUGCGGAAGAGAUAAGUGCUGAAAGCAUCUAAGCACGAAACUUGCCCCGAGAUGAGUUCUCCCUGACUCCUUGA